This 433-nucleotide ribosomal RNA is filed under the name uncultured bacterium. Its description in RNAcentral is "partial 16S ribosomal RNA". It matches the Rfam family "Bacterial small subunit ribosomal RNA", at positions 29 to 507 of the family's 1533-position model. The record is from RNAcentral.
AACGAACGCUGGCGGCAUGCCUAACACAUGCAAGUCGAACGAGACCUUCGGGUCUAGUGGCGCACGGGUGCGUAACGCGUGGGAACCUGCCCUUAGGUUCGGAAUAACUCCCCGAAAGGGGUGCUAAUACCGGAUAAUGUCUUCGGACCAAAGAUUUAUCGCCUUUGGAUGGGCCCGCGUUGGAUUAGCUAGUUGGUAGGGUAAAAGCCUACCAAGGCGACGAUCCAUAGCUGGUCUGAGAGGAUGAUCAGCCACACUGGGACUGAGACACGGCCCAGACUCCUACGGGAGGCAGCAGUGGGGAAUAUUGGACAAUGGGCUAAAGCCUGAUCCAGCAAUGCCGCGUGAGUGAUGAAGGCCUUAGGGUUGUAAAGCUCUUUUAACCGGGAUGAUAAUGACAGUACCGGGAGAAUAAGCUCCGGCUAACUCCGUG